GUUUCCUUUACUUUGUUCUGCAGGGAGAGUUGCAGGUCAGGCACCUUCUUACUCCCUCUACACAGUAGAUAGUGAAGAUGCUAUGGCCCACCCACUGUUCCUUUAGCUACUCAGCAGAGCAGAAAAGUGAAACACAAGUCUGACACUAGAGGUAACAAGGUGGUCUGGAGGACAGGACUAAAUAGUUUCAACAUCCUCAUCUAGAGUAGAGAUACAACACAUUGUGACCGUGUGUCUCUGCCUGAUCCAACCAUGGAGUACCACUGUCCUGGAUAGGCCCUGACAGAUAAUCCUUCUGACUGGAAG
This is a non-coding RNA of Pelodiscus sinensis (Chinese soft-shelled turtle), 306 nucleotides long. The record is from RefSeq and is a predicted model, not a curated record. NCBI's taxonomy places the organism in Eukaryota, Metazoa, Chordata, Testudines, Trionychidae.